This 498-nucleotide ribosomal RNA is filed under the name uncultured bacterium. RNAcentral describes it as "partial 16S ribosomal RNA". It matches the Rfam family "Bacterial small subunit ribosomal RNA", at positions 30 to 523 of the family's 1533-position model. The record is from RNAcentral.
AUUGAACGCUGGCGGAAUGCUUUACACAUGCAAGUCGAGCGGCAGCGCGGGGCAACCUGGCGGCGAGCGGCGAACGGGUGAGUAAUGUAUCGGAACGUGUCCUUGAGUGGGGGAUAGCCCGGUGAAAACCGGAUUAAUACCGCAUACGCAGGAGACUGGAAAGCGGGGGAUCGCAAGACCUCGCGCUGGAGGCGCGGCCGAUAUCCGAUUAGCUAGAUGGUGAGGUAAAGGCUUACCAUGGCUGUGAUCGGUAGCUGGUCUGAGAGGAUGAUCAGCCACACUGGGACUGAGACACGGCCCAGACUCCUACGGGAGGCAGCAGUGGGGAAUUUUGGACAAUGGGGGCAACCCUGAUCCAGCCAUUCCGCGUGAGUGAAGAAGGCCUUCGGGUUGUAAAGCUCUUUUGUCGGGGACGAAACGGUUACGGUUAAUACCUGUGACUACUGACGGUACCCGAAGAAUAAGCACCGGCUAACUACGUGCCAGCAGCCGCCGUAA